This 2287-nucleotide long non-coding RNA is filed under the name Ananas comosus (pineapple). RNAcentral's name for it is "long non-coding RNA (ACOM_LNC009253)". The record is from RNAcentral. Lineage: Eukaryota; Viridiplantae; Streptophyta; Magnoliopsida; Poales; Bromeliaceae.
AAUUUUCGAAUGGACAUUCAACUCCGUUUGACUUAAUUUAGCGCAUUAAAAUUAUCAAAAAGAUAAAUUUUGUAUUUUUUUGAUAUAUCUAGCUAGUGGUCGAAAGGUUCAAAACCAACAGUUAGAAAUAAAAAUCUCAUAAAAAGUGAUGAUAUGAUACUAAAAUUUUAAAUCAAAAAUUGAUUUUAUUUUAUAUAAUGUAAAGAAUUUUUUCUUCAAAUUUUAUGUGGUUUGGAUAUUUUUACACCGUUAAAUUUGCAAACUGCUCACCAAGAUUAUUAAAAUUAUUGAUUUUGAGUCUCUUCGAUCACUAGAUAAUUAAUAUUGAAAAUUUAUGAAAUUUAUUUUCUGCCUAUUUUAAAUACUCUAGAUCGAGUCAAAUGGAGUAGAUUGUCGAUUAAAAAGUCGCAGUAUAAAAAAUGACUUAAUAGUACAGUGACUAUCAUAUUUCUAAAAAAAGAACACACACACACACACACACACACACACACAUAUAUAUAUAUAUAUAUAUAUAUAUAUAGCUAGGCUCGUAUAUUAUCGGUAGCACAGAGGCCUCCGUACUACCAAAUUAUUUUCAAUGAUACUGCUUUCAAAUCGACGAUCGGCUACGUUAGACUUGAUCUACACUAUUAAAAAUAUUUGGAAACUAAACUUCAUAAUUUUUCGGUAACAGUUGCCUAUCAAACGAGUAGUCUAAAAAUGAAUGGCUGAAAAUAAAAAUCUCAUAAAAAAUAAUGAUAGAAGACUUGAAUUUAAGAUCAAAGAUACUGAUCUUACUCUAAAUAGUAAAAAAAAUUUUCUAUAAAAAUUUCAUCUAAUUUAGAUUGUUUUAUACCGUUAAAUUUACAAAUGCAUUACAUCUACCAUUAAAAUUGUCAAUUUUAAGACCUUUUGAUCACUAGCCAAAUAAUGUCGAAAAAUUAUAAAAUUUAGCUUUCAAAUAUUUUUAAUAGUGUAGAUCAAGUCUAACUGAGCCGAUCGUCGAUUUGGAAGUGGCAUCAUUGAAACAACUUGGUAGCAUGGAGGCCUCCGUGGUACCGAUAGUAUACCAGCCUAGCUCUAUAUAUAUAUAUAUAGAGAGUCCGGCUACUAUACUCUUAUGAGUAUAGUGUCUCUUGUACUUAUAAGUUUUUGACCGUUUGAUCUACCCUUUAAUCAUUUCACCCGUUAGAUUAUACUAUUCAACCAACCACCCACUCAAUUCUAAGGAGCCCACUAUCAACCUAAUCGUAACCACUCUCAUCCUAACCGCACAUUUUUUCAUCCGAACGGCCAAAAAGUUAUGAGUACAAAAGGCUCUAUACUCAUAUGAGUAUAGUAGCCCCAGCCUAUAUAUAUAUAUAUAUAUAUAUAUAUAUAUAUAUAGAGAGAGAGAGAGAGAGAGAGAGAGAGAGAGAGAGAGAGAGAGAGAGAGCUAGUCUUCUAUACUAUCUAUAGUACUGGGACUCCAGUACUAUAGUCUCGUUUUCGAUUUUAGGGUGUUCAAACCAACGAUCCACACCGUUAAAACUGAUCUAGAGUAUUUAAAAUUUUUAGAAAUAGAAUUUUAUAUUUUUUCGACAUAGUUUACUUUAUGAUCAAACUAUUUUAAAAUUGUCAAUUUUCAAUGGCUACUAUGGCGAGUUUGGAGUUUAACGGUGUAAAAGAAUCUAAUUUUUUUCAAAUUUUGAUAGAAAAUAUUUUAAACUAUCUGGAUUAAGAUUAACAUUCUUGAUCUUGGAUUUAAAAGUCCUAUGCUCAAAUUUUAAAGAUUAUUCAAUUUCCACCGUUCAUUUUGACAUAAUUUAUUAACUAAAUAAACGAUGUCGAAAAAAAUUAAAAUUUUAUUCCUGAGAACUUCAUAUACCCUAAAUCAUAUUUAACGGUGUGGAUCGUUAAUUUGAAUACCCUAAGAUCAAAAAGAAGACUAUAGUACCGGAGCUCCGGUACUAUAGAUAGUAUAGUAGCUUAAUUCUCUCUCUCUCUCUCUCUCUCUCUCUCUCUCUCUCUCUCUCUCUCUAUAUAUAUAUAUAUAUAUAUAUAUAUAUAUAUAUAUAGAACUAGGCUGGAAUACUAUCAAUAGCACCAAGCUAUUGGUGCUAUUAAGUUUUUAGCCCUUGGAUUAAGAAAUGUGUAGUUAGGAUGAUGUGGGCCCUCUAGGGUUGAGUGAGUGGUUGGUUGAAUAAUAUAAUCUAAUGGGUAAAAAUAAUCAUAGGAUUAAAUCUAACUGUGGAAAACUCGAUAGCAUCAAAUCGUUAGUGCUAUCGAUAGUACCUAGGGGUGGAACUGGGCCAGGCUUUGGUUGGGU